GAGUUUGAUCCUGGCUCAGAUUGAACGCUGGCGGCAGGCCUAACACAUGCAAGUCGAGCGGUAGAGAGAAGCUUGCUUCUCUUGAGAGCGGCGGACGGGUGAGUAAUGCCUAGGAAUCUGCCUGGUAGUGGGGGAUAACGCUCGGAAACGGACGCUAAUACCGCAUACGUCCUACGGGAGAAAGCAGGGGACCUUCGGGCCUUGCGCUAUCAGAUGAGCCUAGGUCGGAUUAGCUAGUUGGUGAGGUAAUGGCUCACCAAGGCGACGAUCCGUAACUGGUCUGAGAGGAUGAUCAGUCACACUGGAACUGAGACACGGUCCAGACUCCUACGGGAGGCAGCAGUGGGGAAUAUUGGACAAUGGGCGAAAGCCUGAUCCAGCCAUGCCGCGUGUGUGAAGAAGGUCUUCGGAUUGUAAAGCACUUUAAGUUGGGAGAAGGGCAGUAAAUUAAUACUUUGCUGUUUUGACGUUACCGUACAGAAUAAGCACCGGCUAACUCUGUGCCAGCCGCCG
RNAcentral lists this ribosomal RNA (513 nucleotides) under uncultured bacterium. RNAcentral describes it as "bacterial SSU rRNA". It matches the Rfam family "Bacterial small subunit ribosomal RNA", at positions 9 to 517 of the family's 1533-position model. The record is from RNAcentral.